UGUAGACUGUGUCUAGUGAUGAGAAUCAAGGAAUUUAUUUUAUGUGUUAAUAUAAACCAAGCCCGUUUAGCCGUUUAGCUGCCUUAAAACGGUGGUUUAAUAAGCUCAAAAUACAAAGCAUGCAAGUCUAUACUAUAGAUUCAUCAUCAGUCAACAACCAAACUGAAAGUAUUGAACCUUAUAGAACAAUAGUUUUUAUUUGUUUACAACUAUACAUAUUCAACGGGUAUAUAAGAGUUUAACAGUUAUUUGAUAAUUACUGCAUCAACCGGCCCCUUGUUUAUACUUUGGAGGUUCGUAUAUAAUAUCUAUCAAGUAUCUUUGGUUCAGAACAUGACUGAUAGGCCUAUAUGCAAAUCCCACUGUUCGAUUCAGUGAAGAAAUAUCUCCUAAUUUCUAUCGAUAGUUUUAGUAAAAUGUCAACAUUAUUGCGAUUUAUGGCCUUUGAAAGUCAAGCGAGAUAGUAUAUUAUCAAAUUAAUACGCAUGUAAUUGUCUGAACGAAAAUAUAGACUAGCCCAUACC
Molecule: non-coding RNA, 524 nt
Organism: Paramuricea clavata
Lineage: Eukaryota; Metazoa; Cnidaria; Anthozoa; Malacalcyonacea; Plexauridae
Source: the annotation of a GenBank genome assembly